RNAcentral lists this ribosomal RNA (492 nucleotides) under uncultured bacterium. RNAcentral describes it as "bacterial SSU rRNA". It matches the Rfam family "Bacterial small subunit ribosomal RNA", at positions 8 to 518 of the family's 1533-position model. The record is from RNAcentral.
AGGGUUCGAUUCUGGCUCAGGAUUAACGCUGGCGGCAUGCCUAAUACAUGCAAGUCGAAUGGAAGAGCUUGCUUUCCAUGGCGAACGGGUGAGUAACACGUAGGUAACCUACCUUAAGGACGAGGAUAACCUUUGGAAACGAAGGAUAAUACUGGAUAGGACAUUACAAAGCACAUGCUUAAAUGUUUAAAGGAGCAAUCCACCAUAAGAGGGGCCUGCGGCGCAUUAGCUAGUUGGUGAGAUAAAGGCCCACCAAGGCGAUGAUGCGUAGCUGGACUGAGAGGUUGAACAGCCACAAUGGGACUGAGAACGGCCCAUACUCCUACGGGAGGCAGCAGUAGGGAAUUUUCGGCAAUGGGCAAAAGCCUGACCGAGCAAAUGCCGCGUGAUCGAAGAAGUAUUUCGGUAUGUAAAGAUCUUUUAUCAGGGAAGAAAAAACAAAUUGACUGAACCUGAUGAAUAAGCUCCGGCUAACUACGUGCCAGCCGCCGC